This 19-nucleotide unclassified non-coding RNA is filed under the name Chlamydomonas reinhardtii. Its description in RNAcentral is "small RNA Cre_2006". The record is from RNAcentral. Lineage: Eukaryota; Viridiplantae; Chlorophyta; Chlorophyceae; Chlamydomonadales; Chlamydomonadaceae.
GUAGUCGGGCCGGUCACCA